This 475-nucleotide ribosomal RNA is filed under the name uncultured bacterium. RNAcentral describes it as "bacterial SSU rRNA". It matches the Rfam family "Bacterial small subunit ribosomal RNA", at positions 330 to 793 of the family's 1533-position model. The record is from RNAcentral.
AGUCGACUCCUACGGGGAGGCAGCAGUGGGGGAAUAUUGCACAAUGGGCGCAAGCCUGAUGCAGCCAUGCCGCGUGUGUGAAGAAGGCCUUCGGGUUGUAAAGCACUUUCAGUCGUGAGGAAGGUAGUGUAGUUAAUAGCUGCAUUAUUUGACGUUAGCGACAGAAGAAGCACCGGCUAACUCCGUGCCAGCAGCCGCGGUAAUACGGAGGGUGCGAGCGUUAAUCGGAAUUACUGGGCGUAAAGCGCAUGCAGGUGGUUUGUUAAGUCAGAUGUGAAAGCCCGGGGCGUCAACCUCGGAAUUGCAUUUGAAACUGGCAGACUAGAGUACUGUAGAGGGGGGUAGGAAUUUCAGGUGUAGCGGUGAAAUGCGUAGAGAUCUGAAGGAAUACCGGUGGCGAAGGCGGCCCCCUGGACAGAUACUGACACUCAGAUGCGAAAGCGUGGGGAGCAAACAGGAUUAGAUACCCUGGUAG